This is a long non-coding RNA of Archocentrus centrarchus (flier cichlid), 404 nucleotides long. RefSeq lists it as uncharacterized. The record is from RefSeq and is a predicted model, not a curated record. Lineage: Eukaryota; Metazoa; Chordata; Actinopteri; Cichliformes; Cichlidae. The transcript has 3 exons.
UCCACACCUCCACCUACAUCCAAACCUGCACCCACACCUCCACCUACAUCUACAUCACUCUCCUCUCCUGUUCUCUCUGUGAUGCUGUUGCUUAAAUCAGUCUGUAUCGGGGUCCUGCUGCUGUUACUGGUUCAAAUGGUGAGACGUGUUUGUAGGAAACCUGAAGCCGAUGGGGGAGAAGUUGGAGAGAUGACAUCAAAAUCUCAAAUCAUCAGCAGCCAAUCAGAGGAAGCAGAGACUUUAAACCAGAGCCAGACGUCAUCGACUCCUCACUGAAGCUCCACCAGUCCAACCACUGGAAUCCAGCUGCUGCUCUCUGACUGCUGCACACACACCUGAGGACACUGACUUGGAGAUAUUCUGUGUUUUCUUCUCAAUAUAUUAAUCUUGUACAACCACAGAGG